AAAAUUUCUAUACAUUAUUGUAUCUAUUCUUCACAAUAGAUUUCAGAGUCUUUAUUAUUUAUUUCCAUUUUACCAAUGAGGAAACUCAGAUUCUGUCAUAGGCAUGGAGACAAUGGAAAGGGAGGGAGCGGCUUGCAGUCUGACUCCAGGAGGCAGUAUUCCUCUUUACUCCCAAUCUGGUAUCAGAAUGGACCUUUUUGAUGUCACUGUUAUUCCAGAAAGAAUCUCUGGCAUGCUCCCCUCCAGCUAACGUCAGAAAGAAAAGGGGGCCCUUGCAAAUCACUCCAGCAAAAAAAAGUUAGAGACCAAGACAUGACUGCAAGCACAAAGGUGGACAUAUGCCCAAGACUUGCCAAUCAUUUUAUCCCCUGAACCUAGACAUUAUGGUCAUCUGGUCAUAAAAUGUGUUCAAAGAUAAAUGCCUCCAUUGCCUUCCAAUAAAUCCCUCUUCUACCUAUUUUAUUAAUUUAUU
Molecule: long non-coding RNA, 472 nt
Filed under: Sus scrofa (pig)
Lineage: Eukaryota; Metazoa; Chordata; Mammalia; Artiodactyla; Suidae
Description: lncRNA (ENSSSCG00040071404.1)
Source: RNAcentral